GAAACUUCAAGCUCAGCUUGGUGUUGGGUGCUUGUCCCCCUCCUGGGGGGACUCACCUCAAAUGCAUUGGCGGCCGGUAUAUUGGCUACAGCGCAGUACAACGCGUCUGGCGUCUUGGUAUACUGGUCCCCCAGAAGCCACUUCUUUU
Molecule: unclassified non-coding RNA, 148 nt
Filed under: uncultured Pleosporales
Lineage: Eukaryota; Fungi; Ascomycota; Dothideomycetes; Pleosporales
Description: sequence contains ITS2
Source: RNAcentral